This 253-nucleotide ribosomal RNA is filed under the name uncultured bacterium. RNAcentral describes it as "partial 16S ribosomal RNA". It matches the Rfam family "Bacterial small subunit ribosomal RNA", at positions 524 to 776 of the family's 1533-position model. The record is from RNAcentral.
UACGUAGGGUGCAAGCGUUGUCCGGAAUUAUUGGGCGUAAAGGGCUCGUAGGCGGUCCAUCGCGUCGGGAGUGAAAAGCUGGGGCUUAACCCCAGUCCUGCUUCCGAUACGGGUGGACUAGAGGUAUGCAGGGGAGAACGGAAUUCCUGGUGUAGCGGUGAAAUGCGUAGAUAUCUGGAGGAACACCGGUGGCGAAGGCGGCAUCCUGGACCGGCAUUGACGCUGAGGCGCGAAAGCUAGGGGAGCAAACGGG